Molecule: long non-coding RNA, 1006 nt
Filed under: Crocodylus porosus (Australian saltwater crocodile)
Lineage: Eukaryota; Metazoa; Chordata; Crocodylia; Crocodylidae
Description: lncRNA (ENSCPRG00005015938.1)
Source: RNAcentral
UAGGGUGUAGAGGAGGCAGAGCCCCACAGAAGAUACCCAUACGCUGAGACCUGUGCCUAUCUCAAUUAGCUCCAUACAGUCAGGUACCACCUCUUGAUAUUCUUUUAUUAACAUCAAGUCAUGGAAGGCAAGAUAUAGAGAAAAGGGGGUGAAACAGCCAUUGAGAGUAUGGCACCUGGGCCCCACUACAAUGGGUUUAUUAAUGUUCUACAAAUUUUAAUUCAGAAACACAACACGUGACCUAUUAACAUUCAACAGGUGACCAGUCCACAGCAGGAAACAUAUUUUGCAUGGCUAUAGUCAGCUAUAGGCUAUAUUCAAAGCUAUGCUUUCACAUUUACAUAUGAUAAACACCAACAAUCAUUCAUAUACCCAUGUAUAUAACUUUAAGCACCUGAGAAGUAUCAUUGGUCAGUGAGUCCAUUCAUAUGGAUACAGAUGAGCACAAAAUGUAACUGUCUGCAGACCAAGUAUUAUAUUAUUAUAUUAUGUAACUGUUAACUGCAGCAAAGAUUUGUUUGAAAUGAUAUAACUAGUAAUGAGUAUUUUUUACCAUGAAAACUACCAACCAUACUGCAAGUUUAUUUCUGGGUCAACUAUACAGUGUUACUAGCUGUGGUCUAUGGUAUGACUUGGAAAUUUUUUUAUUAUGCAGACCUAAUGUUGCAAAUGUGAGAAACGUUCCAUUUUGCUAGGCCGCUUAUGAGGAGAAAAAAAUGCAACUGGGUUGAGUAUUCAAACUCCUAAUAAUUUUGAUGGCUAAAUGUGGCCUUGAAAACUAAGAUGCUGGAUUCCUCAAAUUCUGUGGCGAUGAAAAUAAAACACCCUAACUGGGACAGAUUUUCAGAAAGUGGUCAACAUCUAUACCUGAACAAUAUGGUCUGGGAACUCUUCCUUAUGAUUGUUUGGUGGGAUGCAUCAUGGAGAAUCAUGGAAUUUCCUUCAAAUUCAUGGCUUCAGUGACUGCUGUGACCACAAUGACAAAAUUGUAACCUCAGUUAUAAUA